This 775-nucleotide ribosomal RNA is filed under the name uncultured Neocallimastigales. Its description in RNAcentral is "partial large subunit ribosomal RNA". It matches the Rfam family "Eukaryotic large subunit ribosomal RNA", at positions 24 to 631 of the family's 3401-position model. The record is from RNAcentral. Lineage: Eukaryota; Fungi; Neocallimastigomycota; Neocallimastigomycetes; Neocallimastigales.
UAUGUGAUCGUCUCUCGCAUAUCAAUAAGCGGAGGAAAAGAAACUAACAAGGAUUCCCCUAGUAACGGCGAGUGAAGCGGGAAGAGCUCAAAUUUGAAAUCUUAAAGGGUUUCCCUUUACGAAUUGUAGUUUAAAGAAGUGUUUUCUGUUGAAGGUUUUGGUAAAAGUUCUUUGGAAUAGGACAUCAUAGAGGGUGAGAAUCCCGUAUUUGACCUUUACUUUCAACUUUGUGAUACACUUUCAAAGAGUCGGAUUGUUUGGGAAUGCAGUCCAAAAUGGGUGGUAAAUUUCAUCUAAAGCUAAAUAUUGGCGAGAGACCGAUAGCGAACAAGUACCGUGAGGGAAAGAUGAAAAGAACUUUGAAAAGAGAGUUAAACAGUACGUGAAAUUGUCAAAAGGGAAGCGUUUGACACCAGUGUUGUUUUUCUGAAAAUCAAUUAAAGAACUGUUUAUGCUAAGUUGUUUAGACUUUAUCAGCUAACUGUUUAGUUUUGAGCUUUUCUUUAAUGCACUUUUCAGUUAACAAGUCAACAUCAAUUUCUUUUGCUGUAAAAAAGCUUGAGGAAGGUGGCUUGAGAUUCGUCUUAAGUGUUUAUAGCCUCUUGCCUAUGCAGUCGGAGAGAUUGAGGUCUGCAGCGUAGAUCCUUCGGGGCUAAAUGCAUUUGUGCUAAGUUAUAGCAUUUUAUAGACAACUUGUUGACUAUGAUUUGUCUUGUAGCUUACUCGCUUAUGUUAUUUUACCUACGCUUAGGAUGUUGAUCUACAGAGCGAGAGU